CGUAGGGUGCAAGCGUUAAUCGGAAUUACUGGGCGUAAAGCGUGCGCAGCGGUGAUGUAAGACAGGUGUGAAAUCCCCGGGCUUAACCUGGGAACUGCAUUUGUGACUGCAUCGCUGGAGUGCGGCAGAGGGGGAUGGAAUUCCGCGUGUAGCAGUGAAAUGCGUAGAUAUGCGGAGGAACACCGAUGGCGAAGGCAAUCCCCUGGGCCUGCACUGACGCUCAUGCACGAAAGCGUGGGGAGCAAACAGGAUUAGAUACCCUGGUAGUCCACGCCCUAAACGAUGUCAACUGGUUGUUGGUCCUUCACUGGAUCAGUAACGAAGCUAACGCGUGAAGUUGACCGCCUGGGGAGUACGGCCGCAAGGUUG
This 369-nucleotide ribosomal RNA is filed under the name uncultured organism. Its description in RNAcentral is "bacterial SSU rRNA". It matches the Rfam family "Bacterial small subunit ribosomal RNA", at positions 526 to 896 of the family's 1533-position model. The record is from RNAcentral.